RNAcentral lists this ribosomal RNA (639 nucleotides) under uncultured actinomycete. RNAcentral's name for it is "bacterial SSU rRNA". It matches the Rfam family "Bacterial small subunit ribosomal RNA", at positions 232 to 885 of the family's 1533-position model. The record is from RNAcentral. Lineage: Bacteria; Bacillati; Actinomycetota; Actinomycetes; Actinomycetales.
CGCGGCCUAUCAGCUUGUUGGAGAGGUAACGGCUCACCAAGGCAUCGACGGGUAGCUGGUCUGAGAGGAUGAUCAGCCACACUGGGACUGAGACACGGCCCAGACUCCUACGGGAGGCAGCAGUGGGGAAUCUUGCACAAUGGGCGAAAGCCUGAUGCAGCAACGCCGCGUGCGGGAAGAAGGCCCUAGGGUUGUAAACCGCUUUCAGUAGGGAAGAAAAUGACGGUACCUACAGAAGAAGGUGCGGCCAACUACGUGCCAGCAGCCGCGGUGACACGUAGGCACCAAGCGUUAUCCGGAUUUAUUGGGCGUAAAGAGCUCGUAGGCGGUUUGGUAAGUCGGGUGUGAAAACUCUGGGCUCGACCCAGAGAGGCCACCCGAUACUGCUAUGACUAGAGUACGGUAGGGGAGCGGGGAAUUCAUGGUGUAGCGGUGAAAUGCGCAGAUAUCAUGAGGAACACCAGCGGCGAAGGCGCCGCUCUGGGCCGUAACUGACGCUGAGGAGCGAAAGCGUGGGGAGCAAACAGGAUUAGAUACUCUGGUAGUCCACGCCGUAAACGUUGGGCACUAGGUGUGGGUCUCAACCAACGAGAUCCGCGCCGUCGCUAACGCAUUAAGUGCCCCGCCUGGGGAGUACGG